Molecule: long non-coding RNA, 286 nt
Organism: Leopardus geoffroyi (Geoffroy's cat)
Lineage: Eukaryota; Metazoa; Chordata; Mammalia; Carnivora; Felidae
Exons: 2
Source: RefSeq, a predicted model, not a curated record
GUGUGUUGUAUUUUAACUAGGUGUGUUCUUCCGACCUCUUAAAUCCUCCAUAUUUUUGUUCAUCAUAGCACCUUUCCUAGCCUUCACACUAGCCCUAACCAUGUGAAUCUCCCUAUCCAUGCCGUACCCACUUAUUAACAUAAACCUAGGAGUACUAUUUAUAUUGGCCAUAUCAAGCCUUGCCGUCUACUCCAUCCUAUGAUCAGGAUGAGCCUCAAAUUCCAAAUAUGCCCUAAUUGGGGCCUUGCGAGCCAUAGCCCAAACAAUCUCAUAUGAAGUCACACUA